GCACCUCAGAGACAGAGCUACCAUGACCAUGAGGGUCACUUGUCCAAGGUGAGGCUCAUUCAGCGCACUCUGCCGGCCCUGACUCUGGCAGUCUGCAAAUGUGGAAAACUUCACUGCAUAAUUUGUGGUAGUGGGGGGCGGUGUUUAUUCAGCCUCCCC
Molecule: small nuclear RNA, 159 nt
Organism: Arvicola amphibius (Eurasian water vole)
Lineage: Eukaryota; Metazoa; Chordata; Mammalia; Rodentia; Cricetidae
Product: U1 spliceosomal RNA
Exons: 1
Source: RefSeq, a predicted model, not a curated record